This 441-nucleotide non-coding RNA is filed under the name Gossypium hirsutum (cotton). RNAcentral describes it as "Bacterial small subunit ribosomal RNA". It matches the Rfam family "Bacterial small subunit ribosomal RNA", at positions 379 to 726 of the family's 1533-position model. Lineage: Eukaryota; Viridiplantae; Streptophyta; Magnoliopsida; Malvales; Malvaceae. The record is from Rfam by way of RNAcentral.
AAUCAUAAAGAUGGGAAGGCCAAGGAUUUAACAUCAAUUUUGACUUUGUAAAAAUCUAAAAAUAGAAGAUAUUAUUUUGUCUUAUUUAGCUUUAUUCUUUAUUUUUAUUUUUAUUUUAUUAAUUUAGAAUAGGCUAUUUUUAGUAACCCUAUGUAGGUUAACUCCGUGCCAGCAGCCGCGGUAAGACGGAGGGGGGGGCAAGUGUUCUUCGGAAUGACUAGGCAUAAAGGGCACGUAGGCGGUGAAUCGGGUUGAAAGUGAAAGUCGCCAAAAACUGGCGGAAUGCUCUCGAAACCAAUUCACUUGAGUGAGACAGAGGAGAGUGGAAUUUCGUGUGUCUUUUAAGAGAAGGGUGAAAUCUCAAAAUCUACGAAGGAACGCGCAGCCCAAUUAGGAGCUCUCAACCAUCGUGCUUCUAACCCAUUCUUUAUCCGUUGUGCC